This is a non-coding RNA of Physcomitrium patens, 1669 nucleotides long. The record is from RefSeq and is a predicted model, not a curated record. NCBI's taxonomy places the organism in Eukaryota, Viridiplantae, Streptophyta, Bryopsida, Funariales, Funariaceae.
UCUAGGUCCGCACAACAAAUGUGGCCGCGUGGAGAUCCUAGUAGGGGAGCUCAUGGUGACGCAGCUGCUUGUUCAGGAUUUCGGGGGAGAAAAAUAAUGAGAAAUGGGCUGCAAGCAGCGAGAUUUGCUUGGAAAGGGUGCGCUUCGAAUGCAGUGCUUCUUCGAAUUAAUUACUUAAUUCCACCCUUUUUCGCUGCUUUUCCUUUUCGUUGAGCCCAGAGUCCGGAGUGGAACCUUCAUGGCCCCAACCAGCGCCUAAGAUCUGGAAAUGCCCAGCUCGGUUGAGACGCCUUGCCAUCAAUACAUGCUACGGCAUCGUUGCAGACAAGCAGCGAUUCCUGGCAUUUGAAGACAACUGGGGAGGAGCAACAUAACUAGGUUUUAACUCUCGCAAGUAAGCUGUCAUGUUUUCAAGUCACGUCAGAGCAGUGCAGUGCAGUGUCCACUGUUUCUUUCAUUUCUGUGGCUAUUCUCGAUAAAUGGAAAGAUUGGGCUGUGUGGUGCUUCUGAAGGGGGGGAUGAAACCCCGGAUAUUCUCCCUGGUGCUGCCGCACGUACUAAUCAUGGUCAUCUUUAGCCCAUGAAUAGCGGGGACCACGAGUCACCGACAGGCUCCGAUUCAUUUUCAUGUCACCAACUCUUGAUGCAUUUUGCGUAGUUUUUGCUUUACUUUCCUUGUUUUUCACCAUAUUAUUUCUUUAUUAUUAUCUUUAUUACACUACUCAGUUUCUUCUCAUUUACAAUUGUCAUGGCUGUGACACAUUCUCUACCGGAGGCAACUGACCUUUAGUGCCAGUGCAACUUCAAGUAUUGGUCGAGUGGAAUGUCCAGAUUCCCUAUUCAAAUACAAAAUUUUGGUUUAAUUUCAAAACAAAUAGUCAUUCCUCUUUGAAAUCAGAACCCCAUAGUUAUUUCUGGGACCUUGUGGUGAAUGGCCCCGUUCAUCUCCAAUUUCUCCCAAGAUACUAGUUGCACCUCGGACGAGAUCUCAGGGGACUUUCCAAAUGGGCGACAAUACCUGGAGUGAUCAUGCCACCAACCCUAUUCCAUGGAUGCUGAGUAUUUGGGGUUUGUGAACAUAGGUAUCAAGCUACUAUCAGCUUGCUUUUCCCUCUACAGCUCUGGAGUAUUUGACCUAUUUUCGACACAGUAAAUUUGUGAUGCAGGAAACGAGGUUUCUUACACUGCGGUCUAUGCUCCGUUCUGCACUCUAGAAACGGAAGAGUAACUUACCCUUCUGUAUUCUGUGAAACACUAGAUUUGCUAACGACUAUCACUUAACAUUUUCUAACUGUCUCACUUUGAUUUAUAACCAACCAAUAUUUGUAUGGACAUCUAAAGAUUAAAAAAAUCAAGAAAUGAAAACAAUAUCUAUUCGUGCAACAUUUAACAAUGGUUGAAACCACUUGAUUAUUACAGAAGCUAUAUUAGUUUGACAGCAGGCUUUAGAUGCCCCGCUGUGGAUAUUAGCUUGCGUCGUACUACUUCGGAAAACUUGUAGGAGAGUCUGGCUCAGCAUCUAGGGACGACGAAUGCAAUGGCAUUGUAAAAACUUGUGGACGAGAGUGAGAUAGACAAAGUCGUGUAGCAUAACGAGAAUGAGAGAUUCUUCUCUCCAUGUUUUUCUUUUUCUUUUUGUCUUUUUAAAAUUUCAUUACAUUUUUCUGAA